GUGCCAGCCGCCGCGGUAAUACGAAGGGGGCUAGCGUUGUUCGGAAUUACUGGGCGUAAAGCGCGCGCAGGCGGCCAUUCAAGUCGGGGGUGAAAUCCCAGAGCUCAACUCUGGAAUUGCCUUCGAGACUGAGUGGCUUCGAGUACGGGAGAGGUGAGUGGAAUUCCCAGUGUAGAGGUGAAAUUCGUAGAUAUUGGGAAGAACACCGGUGGCGAAGGCGGCUCACUGGCCCGUUACUGACGCUCAGGCGCGACAGCGUGGGGAUCAAACAGGAUUAGAUACCCUGGUAGUCCACGCCGUAAACGAUGGACGCUAGCCGUUGGCAAGCUUGCUUGUCAGUGGCGCAGCUAACGCAUUAAGCGUCCCGCCUGGGGAGUACGGCCGCAAGGUUGAA
This 394-nucleotide ribosomal RNA is filed under the name uncultured bacterium. Its description in RNAcentral is "bacterial SSU rRNA". It matches the Rfam family "Bacterial small subunit ribosomal RNA", at positions 505 to 898 of the family's 1533-position model. The record is from RNAcentral.